Molecule: ribosomal RNA, 253 nt
Filed under: uncultured bacterium
Lineage: Bacteria
Description: partial 16S ribosomal RNA
Rfam family: Bacterial small subunit ribosomal RNA
Source: RNAcentral
UACAGAGGGGGCGAGCGUUGUUCGGAAUUACUGGGCGUAAAGCGUGCGCAGGCGGCUCCUUAAGUCAGAUGUGAAAUCCCCGGGCUUAACCUGGGAACUGCGUUCGAAACUGGGGAGCUUGAGUGUGGAAGAGGGGGGUGGAAUUCCAGGUGUAGCAGUGGAAUGCGUAGAGAUCUGGAGGAACACCGAUGGCGAAGGCAGCCCCCUGGGCUAACACUGACGCUCAUGCACGAAAGCGUGGGGAGCAAACAGG